Ostrinia nubilalis (European corn borer) is the source of this 940-nucleotide long non-coding RNA. RefSeq lists it as uncharacterized. The transcript has 2 exons. NCBI's taxonomy places the organism in Eukaryota, Metazoa, Arthropoda, Insecta, Lepidoptera, Crambidae. The record is from RefSeq and is a predicted model, not a curated record.
CAAACGGCGAAACGAAACGUAUCGCGAUGUCUAUGACAGAGCGGCUGUCAGUGGAGCUGUCAAAUCACUUAGGAAUUUGUCGAUCGUGCGCAACCGCAAUUUGAUUAUUUUCGGGAAUGUAAUUCCUUUUAUUUCAAAUCGGGUGGUGCAAAAUGCAUCCACGAUAAUUUCUUGAUGAAUAAAUAAAAAUAACACACAUGAGGUAAGUUCCCGUCGGAGAAUUUAUUUAUUUUUCGUGAUUGAUAUUUUUCGUAUUCCAGUACGUGGUAUUUUAUGUGAUCGUUUCUUUCAGAGAUUCCCUAAAUCCUAUUCGGAUGAGGGUGGGUUGCUGAAAACUGCGAGUGAAGCUUAAAUUAGCGAACAGUUUUCAUGCGGGAUUUCAUAUUUUACACUAUUUUUAUAGACAUUUUAGAUAUUUCAAUAUUUCAUAUUGAUUUCUCAUCAUUUGGUAUAAAUUAUUUCUCCUUUCUAAACUGCUGAUCUCUUCGCAUUUCCUCCUUGUCAUCAAACCUCUGUCUCUGCAAGAGUUUGAACGCUUUCCUGUCGAGGAGACGCAAGAGCUUCAUCUGGCACUGCGCGCUUGAGGCCGUGGAGGACGCUGCUUGUAACCUAAAAGUGUGUGAGACCCGUUGGACUCCGGAAGAAGAGAGGAACGUUCAGGGUAACGGCUUAUAACCGCAUGGCUUCCAAGGUACCCACUUUUCCAUCCUUCAAGUAGGAGUCUUUCCGACCUGACUUCGCGCAGUUAUCUUAACUAGUAGAGUCUUUUAAUAUUUAGGCUGAGUUUUAAGAAAUUUGUAGUGGCAAUAAUAUUCACCAAACCGAACCUAAUUAACGACCCUGAAUCCCUUGAGAUUGGCACUAUUACAGUAGUUAUUAUAAUAUCGUAAUUGUUAACUUUAUACGAGCAUACGAGAUAAAAAUAAAUUGUGUCAAUUGA